This 253-nucleotide ribosomal RNA is filed under the name uncultured bacterium. Its description in RNAcentral is "partial 16S ribosomal RNA". It matches the Rfam family "Bacterial small subunit ribosomal RNA", at positions 524 to 776 of the family's 1533-position model. The record is from RNAcentral.
UACAGAGGGGGCAAGCGUUGUUCGGAAUUACUGGGCGUAAAGGGCGCGUAGGCGGCCUGUUAAGUCGAACGUGAAAUCCCCGGGCUCAACCCCGGGCCUGCAGUCGAUACGGGCAGACUAGAGUGCGGUAGGGGAGACUGGAAUUCCUGGUGUAGCGGUGAAAUGCGCAGAUAUCAGGAGGAACACCGGUGGCGAAGGCGGGUCUCUGGGCCGUAACUGACGCUGAGGAGCGAAAGCGUGGGGAGCGAACAGG